CCCAUAGAUGUCUGAUCUAUGGUGGUGAAAACUGAAUGAAGGAGGGAUGCCCUAGACAAACUAAUGGUAGGGGGAUGUCCUAAACAAGAUGAUAAUAGGGGGAUGCCCUAGACAAGAUGACAGUAGGGGGAUGCCCUAGGUGAUAACUCAUAAAGAUCGACAAAUGCGUCUGACAAUCAUGAAAUUAGCACGAGACAUGGCAAACCCAAAGAGAGGGGAAUGCCCCAAGUCAAGCGCUAAAAGGGUAUGCCCCAGUAUGACGACUCGCAAAGAUCAAGAAAUAGAUCGAGUAGUGAGAAAAACCGCAAAAGAUCCGACGAACUCAAGGAUGGGGGUAUGCCCCAAUGUAAGAUAGUAGUCAACAUGGGACACAGAAUGUCACCGAACAAGAUACUCUGGGAUAUGCUCAUGAUGAUGCAAUGAAAAUGAUAUACAUAGCCUCAAUGAACCAAUGCUAAAACAAGACCAAACAUCACCAAAACUAUACUGACAAAGCAAAACUAAAAUAAUGGAUCAAACAAACGCUGACCAAAACUCUAGGUCUGAAAUGUAAGCAAGUCAAGACACAACAUGUCAACUAUCAAUAUGAGUACAUCAUCACAACUGUAUCAACAAUAUAACAGGCCCUACCAUCACAGAAGAUGUUGAACCUAAUGUCCAAAGGCAUGUGAAAACUCAACCAGAAAACCCGAGACUGGUCUACAUCCUCCUCUGAUCACCAAAGAAAGGGACAAGGUCAUGUAAGACGAUGAAAUAUGUGGGCUCAAAAGAUGUAAAGCACUGAUAAGAUGGGUGCAGGUAUAACAGAGUCCAAUGUAGGAUGGAUAGGUGUGUAACAAAGGAAAGUGGGUACCCAAAUCAAACUAGGUAUGCU
RNAcentral lists this long non-coding RNA (874 nucleotides) under Vitis vinifera (wine grape). Its description in RNAcentral is "long non-coding RNA (VVIN_LNC008252)". Lineage: Eukaryota; Viridiplantae; Streptophyta; Magnoliopsida; Vitales; Vitaceae. The record is from RNAcentral.